AACGCAUCUUGCGCUCCUUGGUAUUCCGAGGAGCAUGCCUGUUUGAGUGUCAUUUAAACUCUCAAACCACAUCAUUUGUUUGACGUGGCUUUGGACGUGGGGGUUGCCGGCUUUCUUCUCAGAGAGGCCUGCUCCUCUGAAAUGCAUUAGUGGUAUCUGAAGUGGAAAACCGCUAGGUGUGAUAAUACUGUCUAUGCCUUUGGUUUAUGCCGCAUGUGCUGCUUCCAACCGUACAUUUUUUGUGCUUUUGACAAACUUGACCUCAAAUCAGGUAGGACUACCCGCUGAACUUAA
RNAcentral lists this unclassified non-coding RNA (294 nucleotides) under uncultured Inocybe. RNAcentral describes it as "sequence contains ITS2". The stretch from base 1 to 52 matches the Rfam family "5.8S ribosomal RNA", at positions 103 to 154 of the family's 154-position model. Lineage: Eukaryota; Fungi; Basidiomycota; Agaricomycetes; Agaricales; Cortinariaceae. The record is from RNAcentral.